This 827-nucleotide unclassified non-coding RNA is filed under the name Hevea brasiliensis (rubber tree). The record is from RNAcentral. Lineage: Eukaryota; Viridiplantae; Streptophyta; Magnoliopsida; Malpighiales; Euphorbiaceae.
AACGAAAAAAAAAAAAUUAUAUGUAAUGAAAACAUUAUCAUUAAUGUUUUAACCAUAAUUAAAAAGAUUUUCUCUCCAUAUGGAAAAAAUAUUUUUUAUUAUAUUUGUUCUAUAUAUACAUGUCUUUCUAACUGGAAUACUCAACAAAAUUUGGCUAGAGGAAUUUUAGGUAGUAUGAAACUGAAGUUUUUAAGUAUUUUUAUAAUACAGAUUUUAAAGGAUGAUUAUGAAAUAAUUUUAAAUUUGAAUAACUACGAAUGAAAUUAAAUCGCUAUUUUGUCAUUGAGCUUAAACUUCAUUGAUGUGGAGUUAUGAAGUGAAUUUUCAUACAACUUUGGUCCAUCUCUGAUAGAAACCUCACAUCAACCACUUGCUGUGUCUCCAUUGUGGGGUAACAGUGAGGAUCUUACAAAGAAAAGCAGAUCUUUUAGUCUGCCGUUGUGUUUCCACUGUGUUGAAAAUGCUAGUGCCGUUGUGUUUCAGUGUCAUGCUUAAUUAUAAACAACUUACAUCUCCACAUGGUAUUGGGUACCUCACAUCAACCACUUGCUUAUGUCUCAAUAUGCAACUAUAGCCAUAAGCUCAUAAAGAACAAUAUUAAAAUUUAUUUAUUUCAUUUACAUAUAUUGAACUAAGACAAAUGAGACCAUGGCCUUCAAAUCUUCAUCCGUAUAGUUUAAUUAUUUAAAUCGAUAACAUUUAUAUAAAUAUAAUAAAGUUGAUGCUCAAAAAUAAAUUUAUUUAAAUGUGAUAAGUGAUACUCUAUUAUAUUUUUUUUUCCUAUUUUUCAAUUUUACUCACAUUUUAUUAUUGUCACUAUUUAACAU